Molecule: long non-coding RNA, 545 nt
Organism: Falco peregrinus (peregrine falcon)
Lineage: Eukaryota; Metazoa; Chordata; Aves; Falconiformes; Falconidae
Exons: 3
Source: RefSeq, a predicted model, not a curated record
UUCUUUAAAUACCAGACUUCAUGCAGAAGUUUCACACGGUGCUGUGCUUCUAGUAAACAGAAUUGCUUUUAUGCAUGCUGCAGUCUGGAGGUGGCAAGUGCCAGUGUACGGAUGCAUUUAUGAAGGCAAGUGUUGGGUCUUAUUGGCGCCGCACAAGAAACCAACGUGUGAUACCCAGACAUUCACUGUUAGAAACAGGAAAAAGCUAUGGGCCCUUGCUUCAGAUUCUGCAAAAGAUGUACCAAGGCUGAGGAAAAUGGCAAAAAGGGAAGAAAUGCCAUAGCAUAACUUUGGGAUGGCAGAUUGUACACAAAUGGGAGGCCUGAGCAGGCUGCUUUUAGCAGGGGAACGUGACCUGACUGCACAGGAGGCAAGGAACUCCCUUCUCUCGCUGACCAUGAGCCCUCAGUUUCAAGGCAGAUCUGAAGAGGAAUAUUUGACCCGUGGGAAUUGCAACUUCAGAUACGUAACUCAGGUGGGACCGCCGUGUGUGCCCUGUGAUAGGAGCCGUGUAUCCCAACCGUGAACGUAGAGGUUGGGCCCGG